RNAcentral lists this ribosomal RNA (301 nucleotides) under uncultured bacterium. Its description in RNAcentral is "partial 16S ribosomal RNA". It matches the Rfam family "Bacterial small subunit ribosomal RNA", at positions 509 to 807 of the family's 1533-position model. The record is from RNAcentral.
CAGUAGCCGCGGUAAUACGGAGGGUGCAAGCAUUAAUCGGAAUUACUGGGCGUAAAGCGCACGCAGGCGGUCUGACAAGUCAGAUGUGAAAUCCCCGGGCUUAACCUGGGAACUGCAUUUGAAACUGUCAGGCUGGAGUCUUGUAGAGGGGGGUAGAAUUCCAGGUGUAGCGGUGAAAUGCGUAGAGAUCUGGAGGAAUACCGGUGGCGAAGGCGGCCCCCUGGACAAAGACUGACGCUCAGGUGCGAAAGCGUGGGGAGCAAACAGGAUUAGAUACCCGCGUAGUCCCUGUCUCUUAUAC